UACUGAUCCGGGGCAUGCUACACAGCCAUGACACCCACUGCAGGGUGCACGGGUGAGGAAAGGAUCAAAACUGGAGGAGUGACUCUAAUGAGGGUGUGAGAGAAGGCAGCUGCCCCCACCCUGCCCUCCAGCCUCUGGCCAAUGCAACCAGGCUGCACUGCAAAUGAGAGCGGAGAAAUGGGGAUGGCUGAGCACAUCCCACCUAAACCUUCCUCCUGUGACUGCUUCGUGGCCCUCCCUCCAGCCACCGCUUCCCAGGCUGUGAUCUUUGGCAAAAAUUCAGACCGGCCCAGCGAUGAGGUCCAGGAAGUCGUCUACUUCCCUGCUGCAGCCUACCCCAAUGGGACCAAGGUGCAGUGUACGUACAUUGAGGUUGACCAAGCAGAGAAGACCCACGCGGUCAUCCUGAGCCGCCCAGCUUGGCUGUGGGGAGCAGAGAUGGGAGCCAAUGAGCAUGGGGUCUGCAUUGGGAAUGAAGGUGUGUGGACCAAGGAGCCUGUUGGAGAGGAGGAGGCUCUGCUGGGAAUGGACCUGGUCAGGCUAGGUUUGGAGAGGGGCCGUUCAGCCCAUGAAGCUGUGCAGGUGAUCACAACUCUGCUGGAGCGCUAUGGCCAAGGAGGCAGCUGCAAGGAGGAGCCCACCCCUUUCAUCUAUCAUAACACCUUCCUGCUGGCAGACCGGACCGAAGCUUGGGUGCUGGAGACGGCUGGCCGGUAUUGGGCAGCUGAGAAAAUCAGAGAAGGGGCCCGAAAUAUCUCCAACCAGCUGAGCAUUGGCACAGACAUCGCUGCUGAGCACAUGAAGCUGAGGCACCAUGCCCAGAGCCAGGGCUGGUGGAGUGGGGAUGGGGAGUUCAACUUUGCUGAAAUCUUCUCACUCACCCAUCAGCCUGUCCGCAUGGACGCAGCCAAGGCUCGGUACUGUGCUGGCCGGGAGCUGCUGCAGCAGCAUGCAGGCCACAUCACGGUGGAGACCAUCAUGGGCAUCCUUAGGGACAAGGCCAGCGGGAUCUGUGUGGACUCGGAGGGCUUCUGCACCACGGGUAGCAUGGUGUCCAUCCUUCCCCAGGACCCAGCUUUGCCCUGUAUCCAUUUCUUUACAGCCACACCUGAUCCUUCCAGGUCUGUGUUUAAACCCUUUGUCUUCGUUGCCAAUGUAACACCAGUGCCCCAGGUGAGGUCUCCAAGCUUUGGUGCUGAGGAUCCUGUCAAGAAGGUCCCUCGAUUCCAGAGCAGAGUCGAUCGGAGGCAUGAACUCUAUCGGGAGCACCAAGCUGCAGUGAAGCUCAUGCAGACAGGCCAGGAGCGGGGCCAAAAGCUCCAGCAGACCAUGCAAGAUCUGGAGAUGCAGGGCCUGGAGGCUGUAAAGGAAAUGCUGGCAGGUGGUAUCACCCUGGACCCAGAGGAGCUAGCAGACCUCUUCUUUGACUGUAUAGACACGGAGAUCAAAUUCUACAAAUAAGUCCCACAGCAGGGGGCUCCUCGGUACUGCCCAGUGCUCCUCGUGGUGGUUUGCUCUGAGCUUGGAAUACUUCAGACAAAUGCAAGCCCCUUGCCACUGUCCCAAUCCUGACUCCUCACCUCACAUCUGAACACUGCUUCUUUAAUUGGACCAGAGCUGCCCACCACUGCACAGUAGCAGCUUCAAGCCAUGUGGGUUGUCACUCUGCUGCCAUGUUGGGGCUGAUGCUGGACUGGAGGUAACACCUUUGGACUAGAAUUUCCUGACCUGGCCAUGCCCAGCCCUCCCCCACCAAUGUGAGCCACCACCUCUUCUCUCUUACUACUUGUCAUUCUCUUGGAGUCCAGAAUUUCAAUGGUGGCCUCCUCAUUUUAAUGGGCUGCUGGUACUGAGUAUCCUGAUAUGGGAUCAGGAGAACUGGAAAAAGGGAGAGCCUCAGCUAGGUGGGUGGGUCUGAAUUUGGUGGCUGGGCUACCUGUACUCACGUUUGCUCUUUCCUUGGAGAAAGUGCUGCUAAGCUAGUAGCCUUCCAUCCUCUAUAGAAUGGAGAUGAUCCCUACCUACCCAUGGAGAAUGAAGGAGCUGAUGUCUGUACAAACUGUCUACUGAGCAGCACUUACCCCCCAACCUCCUCUUAUCCCCUGAGAGAUUGGGACACAAGGCCACAGGCAAAUAAGCUAAAAUAAAGGGGCUUUACAUGUCA
This is an RNA transcript of Alligator sinensis (Chinese alligator), 2164 nucleotides long. It is a transcript of the gene named secernin 2, with no coding region annotated. The transcript is spliced from 10 exons. Lineage: Eukaryota; Metazoa; Chordata; Crocodylia; Alligatoridae. The record is from RefSeq and is a predicted model, not a curated record.